Molecule: transfer RNA, 82 nt
Filed under: Salmo salar (Atlantic salmon)
Lineage: Eukaryota; Metazoa; Chordata; Actinopteri; Salmoniformes; Salmonidae
Rfam family: tRNA
About the family: Transfer RNA (tRNA) molecules are approximately 80 nucleotides in length. Their secondary structure includes four short double-helical elements and three loops (D, anti-codon, and T loops).
Source: Rfam by way of RNAcentral
GUUGUCGUGGCCGAGUUGUUAAGGCGAUGGACUAGAAAUCCAUUGGGAUCUUCCCGCACCGGUUCGAAUCCUGCUGACAUCG